Molecule: transfer RNA, 73 nt
Filed under: Stegodyphus mimosarum
Lineage: Eukaryota; Metazoa; Arthropoda; Arachnida; Araneae; Eresidae
Rfam family: tRNA
About the family: Transfer RNA (tRNA) molecules are approximately 80 nucleotides in length. Their secondary structure includes four short double-helical elements and three loops (D, anti-codon, and T loops).
Source: Rfam by way of RNAcentral
GCUUUCGUGGUGUAUUGGUCAGCACUCUGGGCCCGUAUUCCAGAGGUCCGUGGUUCGAAUCCCGGUGAAGACU